AACAUGAUUAAAUUAGCAAUGAGUAAAACCAAACAAUACAUAAUAAUACUAUAGACUUUCUGCAGUGUGUCCACACAUAUUUUACAUUUGUCCCGAACAUUAAUAAUUUAUCAACAUUAACACUUCCUUCUGCAGUAUAUAUUUUAUUAGACCUUUAUCAUCCCCAAACAUGAUUCAUGAAUAAAGCUACAACUUGUCAUCAUCUAACCAUCAAUUUCCGUUACCCAGUGACCAAACAAGACACAUAUAUCAAUAUUCAUAAUACUCACAAUCCACAAACAUGCAGAAGAACAUGAUGAUCACAACUCACACAUACAGUUCUGUUAGGACACGAUCUCUUAUUACAGAAGUCUAUUAAAUAAGAAACAAGGAAAAAGGAAAAUACAGCUGUUUGUUUUAAUUAAAACAGCUGUAAAAUCUGUUAGUAGUUAUAGUCGUGGGUUGAAGGAAGGUUAUGUAUAAAUAGGUGUUUUUGGUCUGGGAAAAGGGGGAUAGAAAUAGUUUUGUUGUGGGAGGUUGCUGGACCCUCGAAGUGUCAGUGAAUGUAUUGUGAACAUUUGGUUCAAUUGAAAGAAAUAUAGAGUUUAUGGUCCAGUUUUUAUCAAGUUCAUAAUGCUCCAAUCCAAGCGAAAAGGCACAAAACAACCAACCUAUCCUAAUUCUAGCCAAAAUGUCUUCAAAUUACAACAUAUGAGUUUCUAUAGACUGAGAUGGA
Molecule: small RNA, 715 nt
Filed under: Vigna angularis var. angularis
Lineage: Eukaryota; Viridiplantae; Streptophyta; Magnoliopsida; Fabales; Fabaceae
Description: Non-protein coding transcript
Source: RNAcentral